RNAcentral lists this ribosomal RNA (253 nucleotides) under uncultured bacterium. Its description in RNAcentral is "partial 16S ribosomal RNA". It matches the Rfam family "Bacterial small subunit ribosomal RNA", at positions 524 to 776 of the family's 1533-position model. The record is from RNAcentral.
CACGUAGGGCGCAAGCGUUGUCCGGAAUUAUUGGGCGUAAAGAGCUCGUAGGCGGUCUGUUACGUCUGCUGUGAAAACCCAGGGCUUAACCCUGGGCUUGCAGUGGAUACGGGCAGACUAGAGGCAGGUAGGGGAGAAUGGAACUCCCGGUGUAGCGGUGAAAUGCGCAGAUAUCGGGAGGAACACCGGUGGCGAAGGCGGUUCUCUGGGCCCGACCUGACGCUGAGGAGCGAAAGCGUGGGGAGCGAACAGG